Molecule: ribosomal RNA, 502 nt
Filed under: uncultured bacterium
Lineage: Bacteria
Description: partial 16S ribosomal RNA
Rfam family: Bacterial small subunit ribosomal RNA
Source: RNAcentral
AUUGAACGCUGGCGGCAGGCUUAACACAUGCAAGUCGAGCGGGGUGAUGGUGCUUGCACUAUCACUUAGCGGCGGACGGGUGAGUAAUGCUUAGGAAUCUGCCUAUUAGUGGGGGACAGCAUCUCGAAAGGGAUGCUAAUACCGCAUACGUCCUACGGGAGAAAGCAGGGGAUCACUUGUGACCUUGCGCUAAUAGAUGAGCCUAGUCGGAUUAGCUAGUUGGUGGGGUAAAGGCCUACCAAGGCGACGAUCUGUAGCGGGUCUGAGAGGAUGAUCCGCCACACUUGGACUGAGGCACGGCCCAGACUCCUACGGGAGGCAGCAGUGGGGAAUAUUGUACAAUGGGGGGAACGCUGAUCCAGCCAUGCCGCGUGUGAGAAGAAGGCCUUAUGGUUGUAAAGCACUUUAAGCGAGGAGGAGGCUCUUUUGGUUAAUACCCAAGAUGAGUGGACGUUACUCGCAGAAUAAGCACCGGCUAACUCUGUGCCAGCCGCCGCCGUAA